GGCUUCUUGCGCUCGAACUUGCCGCGGGCGGCGCGGACGGUGAAGGAGCGGCGGCGGGUGGUGGUGUUGGCAGCGGCGAGGUGGAGGAUUGUGGUGGGGUGGAUGAAGGAAGAGGAGAGGUGUGUGGCGGAGGGUUUGUGGGUUUUAAGGAAGAGAUAAUUGGAGGAGGGUGAAGGAGAGAAGUGGACAUGAGGAGGGUAUGCGAGCUUUGAGGUUGUUGCUGCUGCCCAAGAAAUUGCCAUUGGAAAGUGAGGUUUUUGGUUUGGUGUAUGAGAC
This 276-nucleotide long non-coding RNA is filed under the name Glycine max (soybean). Its description in RNAcentral is "long non-coding RNA (GMAX_LNC000969)". The record is from RNAcentral. Lineage: Eukaryota; Viridiplantae; Streptophyta; Magnoliopsida; Fabales; Fabaceae.